Molecule: ribosomal RNA, 254 nt
Filed under: uncultured bacterium
Lineage: Bacteria
Description: partial 16S ribosomal RNA
Rfam family: Bacterial small subunit ribosomal RNA
Source: RNAcentral
GACGUAGGGCGCAAGCGUUGUCCGGAAUUAUUGGGCGUAAAGAGCUCGUAGGCGGCUUGUCGCGUCGACUGUGAAAACCCGUGGCUCAACCAUGCGGUCUGCAGUCGAUACGGGCAGGCUAGAAUUCGGUAGGGGAGACUGGAAUUCCUGGUGUAGCGGUGAAAUGCGCAGAUAUCAAGCGGAACACCGGUGGCGAAGGCGGCCUUCUGGACAGUGACUGACGCUGAGACGCGAAAGCGUGGGGAGCAAACAGG